This 1574-nucleotide unclassified non-coding RNA is filed under the name Hevea brasiliensis (rubber tree). Lineage: Eukaryota; Viridiplantae; Streptophyta; Magnoliopsida; Malpighiales; Euphorbiaceae. The record is from RNAcentral.
GGGAAAUUGGCAAAGGUAGCAAAUCUCCCUUAAUCCAAACUUACAAAAACAAAGAUAGAACGAUAGGAAAGAGGAUCUCAAAGCCAUGACGAAACGCUCCUAACCAAUCACAACAAUCCAACUCAGCUUCUGUACUCCAUCUCCCUUAUCCACCCAAAUUCUGCAUUUCCACCACUAAUCCAUCCCUCCCAGAAUCUAAAAACCAUCUCUGCACAUCUUCCAAUAUCUCUGUUUCCUCCUCUUUUGCCUUUUCUCUUUACUGUAAUAAGAACCAAGAAAUCAAGAAAAGGAAAAUGUCUCUUACAAUACCUGCCAAUCUCUCAAAACCCAUGUUGAAGCCAAAACUUGGCCCUUCAUUAUCAGCUUCUUCGUCAAGAUCCAUUAUUGUAUGCUCUGCCUCUCAAACCCCAGAAAAAGACUCCUCUAAAUCACCACUCCAAGCUUUCUCCGCCGCGCUUGCCCUGUCUUCUAUCCUCUUAUCUGCCCCACUCCCCGCCUUGGCUGACAUCUCCGGCCUCACACCAUGCAAAGAAUCCAAACAGUUCGCUAAACGCGAGAAGCAGCAAAUCAAGAAGCUGGAAAAUUCUUUGAAGGUGUAUGCUCCUGAUAGCGCACCUGCUUUGGCGAUCAAGGCAACGAUAGAGAAGACGAAACGCAGAUUCGAUAACUAUGGGAAACAGGGUUUGUUAUGUGGGUCUGAUGGGCUUCCUCAUUUGAUUGUGAGCGGUGACCAGAGGCACUGGGGUGAGUUCAUCACUCCUGGGAUCUUGUUCUUGUAUAUUGCAGGGUGGAUUGGGUGGGUUGGUAGGAGUUAUUUGAUCGCUAUAAGAGGUGAGAAGAAGCCAGCAAUGAAGGAGAUCAUCAUUGAUGUUCCUUUGGCUACCAGCUUGAUUUUCAGAGGAUUUUCUUGGCCUGUUGCUGCUUACAGAGAGUUCGUUAAUGGUGACCUUGUGGUCAAGGAUGUUUAAAUUUAUGUAUCUUCAAACCUCAGAGAGAUAGGGAUGUGGAGGCCAAGGGGUUAUGUAGAGGAUUGCUUUGCCCUAAUGAGGAAUUUCAUGGAAAAUUACUCCUCUUUUAUUUGUGAACAUUUACUUGUAUGUAUCUAAUGCUUGUACGUGUUGGGACACUGGAAAAUUGUUUGCUGUCGCCAUUGGGUUAGGAUGGAUAUCAUCCUUUAUCAACUUUUAUAGUCUCUUAUGCAAAAUGUUAUAUCAAGCCUUUAUGGCAAAGUAUGAAAGAUUUUUCUUUAAUUGGAAGCCCUUUGAGGCUCUCACAGCAUCUUGUUCAUGUCAAGCGCCGAAAGGAAGGCGUUGCAUUUAGGUGGCAAAAGCAUAACUCGAUUUUUUUAGGAGGAUCUAAUUUCAGUGUAUGAAAGCUAACUAAAAAAUAUGCUAAUCAUAAAAAAAAAAAAUAAUAAUAACUCGAUCUAACAUAUAAUGUGAUGGUAAAGUAUAAUCUCAUAGUCUCUUUCUUAUUUAUUUUCUUCUCUCUCUUUUACUUCAUAUUUAUGUUAAAUGCUUAAGAAAUAACAAUCAAUAGAUCUAUGAAAUAUUAACAAUAACACAAAGAAAUCA